UCCACACAACAAUUGAAAAGCAAACAUAAUUUCCUUUUUGAAUAAGAUUAUAUGAAUUGCUAACCCUCGUCAACUUAAACAUAGGAGAAUGCCCACUAGCCCUAAUUUAAGAAUUUUAUUCCUACUAACAAAAUCAAAUUUUAAAAUUUCCAAGAGCCAACUUAAACAGCAGAAAGACAAAUAUACCCUUAAUGAAUUAAAUAAACUACAAUAGACCAGAGCAGAAAUACAAUUAUACCUUUAAUAAAUUAAAUAAACUACAAUAUAUAGACCAUUAUAAGAGUCUAUUAUAAAAUAAAUUUUUUAUGACCGGAUUUCCACGACCAAUGACAUUGACCGGACUCUGGCAACCUUUGACCGAGCUCCGGGCACCAUUGACCGGACUCCGGGAGCCGAUGACGGGACUCCGAGGACCGUUGACCGUGCUCUUGGGAUCGUUGACGUGACUCCGGAGGCCGUUGUGCUUUAGUCACUUAUAACAUAUCCCUAUUUGGGGCAAUAUGCCCACCUACUGGGGUCAGUAGGACCUCCUACUAGGGGCAAUAGGACCAUCUAGUGGGGCAGUAGGACCUCCUACUGGGGCAGUAUGACCCUUGAACUUAACCGUGUGCUUCAGUCACUUAUAACAGGGCCCUAUUGGGGCAAUAUGACCACCUAUUGGGGGCAGUAGGACCUCCUAUUAGGGGCAGUGUGACCUUUGAACUUAACUGUGUGCUUCAGUCACUUAUAAUAGGUCUCUAUUGGGGUCAGUAGGACCUCCUACUAGGGGCAGUAUGACACUUGAACUUAACUGUGUGCUUCAAUCACUUAUAACAGGUCCCUAUUAGGGGCAGUAUGACCAUCUAUUGGAGUCAGUAGAAACAUUUCCUAUUAGGAAAAAAUCUAAAAUUAAAGAAGUUGGAGACAAACAAGAACUAGAAUCAAGCCAAUAAAGAAAAAAUCACGGCCAAUGUAUAUUCAAAGUCAUUACUAAUAUUCCACAUAAAACAAAUUGUUAUCAAUCAUAGGGUAGUAACUAGCUACUUUCCUUGGGGGCUUAAGGAAAUUGCAAGUGAUCAUCUCAAAGCACCGAUAAUCUUAUAGAUGCAUGUACUCAUAUUUACACCUACCGGUUCACUACUUCAAGUCAUUAAUUCACAAACAUAUCUCAAUAUGCACAUAUACAACCAGUAAAUGACUAUAACACGAAAUCUACAAAUAAAUUCAACCUUGAAUUUAACAGUAUAAUAGGUGUAGGAGAGGCCUUAAAAGUUUUCACAGCCAAGCUUGGAAAUAAAGAUAAAUUGAGGCUAAAAUCACCACGCAGUUGGUUGAUUUCUCUUGGUGCUAGAGAGGCUGUUUCACAGCCACCCCCUCAAUCCCCAAUAACUCUGGCAUUAGUAGAGGCCUAGGUCGUCAGUCAUCGGCAUCAGAGUGAAGCAUAUCGGUGCCGGACAUGUUGAGGCCUCAAGAUCGAAGCCCAUAUAGAGGAAGAGCACGGGUCGACGACGUCGAUCUGGUCCUCCGUUGAGGGAUCGUUGGCUUUCCCGGCGGUGUCAUCGUCGGGGCUUUGUAAGCAGAGUUGUCGUUGAGCGUUGUGGGGUUGAGAGAGAGAGAGAGAGAGAGAGAGAGAGAGAGAGAGAGAC
This 1625-nucleotide long non-coding RNA is filed under the name Fragaria vesca (wild strawberry). RNAcentral describes it as "long non-coding RNA (FVES_LNC002980)". The record is from RNAcentral. Lineage: Eukaryota; Viridiplantae; Streptophyta; Magnoliopsida; Rosales; Rosaceae.